UUGAAAUACUCGCAGCUGCACAAAUAGUUACGCUCCUUGCAAGUUCGAACGUUCAACGGAUUCCGGAAAUGAAUCUCAUACAAAUCGACUCGUCAUUGUAGACAACGUGAUUAAAUUACUCUCAUUGAUUAACUACUCGUCUCAUUGUAUGUUUAACGAGUACCACGACUAUGCAAGUAAUUCAAUGUUUAUAUUUCUCGGCUCUAAUCCUUCGUACGCCGAGCUUGGUGUCGAAUACGUUUAGUGUGAUACGGUCGUUCGAUCUGACAAGUGCUAUCUGCGAACUGUCGUGCGAUUGUACGAGCCCCGAGCACAACGCAAUUUUUCAAGAAAUUGACCGUCGUCAGAAGAUCGAGAAGCCCGUGACUUGCAUUUGAACUUCGUCUCGUCUGCUUCGCUCUUCGACUCGAACCAUUUCAUCCGAGUAACAUGUACAGCCAAAUAGCCAGCUGCUUACCGAGAAGACCGUGCCCUGAUGAAUUUCACGAAUCGUCCGCCGAUGGAAUUGAUUUCUUCUUUUUUCUUUUUUUCAGAAGUAAUCGGCAAUUUCCAGUAGGAAUAUCGGGUCAAGAUUUUUUAAAGGGCGCGAAGCAAUUAAAUGGUCCGUGCUUAAUUGAUCAUUCGGCCGCGUUCGUCUCAUCGAUGGAAAAUGGUAGCCGCUGGCAAGUUUCUUCGAUUCGCUUAAAAUUUUCGUCGGAUUAUUCGCGACCUGUUGGGAAAAACGCGCCAAGUAAGUAAUUAAGAAAGUAGCUGGAACCACUCCGAAAACUGGGCUAAAUUACUCGGAAAAAUUUAAUUCUCUGAUAAUAUAGGCCACGUGCAUCGUUUCGCGAGGCUUGAAACUUUCUCUCUCUCUCUUUCUCUUCAUCGGCUAUUUCCUCCCUCGGGCUAAUUUCCCAUCGUUAAUGGCCGCCGUUCUUUCGCGCGAUUAUUUUGGUUAUCCUCUAUACGAAGAUUAUUUGACAUUUGGUGUUUUCAAAUACAUCAAGGUGAUUGGAAAAGUGGAAACGAAGCAUUCGUGGAAUACAUACGACCUAUUUCCAAGAAUUAUUCGAUCUUCUUAUGUAACACCAGUUAUAAAUGAAAUUCCACUUAUUCGAUAGAUGUAAUAUCAGAGACCUGAUAUCCGUGUAAUAGAUUCCGUAUCCUUUUCAGCUCUGCUGAUAAAUCUACCCCUUGCAGAUCGGAUAUUCUUCUUCAUUUAGGAUUUCAGCUUAAUUGCAAUUUCUAUCGACAGAAUUUUCAGUAAAAAUCACAGUCACUCAAGACCUGGCGGUGGCUCGUAGGUCCAAGAAUCGUAAUCCAACUGUGGCGAACGAAAGACGAACGUCGAUCACGCACGUGUUCCACUUGCUCAGUGGCAAGCACCUCCUGGUUAACGUAAAAUGACGCACCAAGGUCCUGCACAGGUUGAACCAAUUAAACGGCGAUUUAAUCGACGCUAAGUCGAUUACACGGUGUUUCUGGGCAAAAGGUCUAGCGAUGCGGUAAGAGGAAAUGGCAGAGGAAGAGACGAGAAAACAGAAAUUCAGAGAGAAAAUAGAGAGACAGCGACGUCUUCUGACCGCCAUGUAACGAGCCGCAAGGGGAUGCUCUCGGCCGCUGUCAAAUUAAUAUGCUCGUCUGUCUGUUACUGCGAUUCUGCAACUUAUUUUGUCCGCGCCAACGUGCACCAGGUCUAAAGCAAUUUUCAGAAAUAUUUGGAAACCUCGCGGAUAUUAAACGGUCUUCUCUUCAAAGGACGCUUGACUCGGUGUACGUGAGCAGAAUCUGUUGCAAAAAUUCCUAUCGUUCCGAUGCACGGAACAUUAUUAUUUGAACAUCAUUUUCGAACAUGCUUUUUUCCAACCGAUAGGCAAAGAACAUGAGGCUGUUGGACGAUGUGUUUUUCAAUAUUUUUGUCGAUAGUAUCGCAACCACGUUGUUUCGAUGUUCACGUUGAUCGAAUAGUCUCAUAGAAAGAAGAUUAAAAGAGAGAACACUCCAUUGAUGACAGUAAAGAAAUAAAAUAGUCAAACUCGAAGAUGGUAUCCCGGUGGGGGUAGCCAUCCACGUGUUAUUCAACAAUUAAGUUAGAAAAAUUUACCAAAUGUCCAGCUGGACAAAUUGUAAAGUACAAAUUAAGUAAUAAUUUAAAAAAAGAAAAAACUUUGACUGCUUAAAGUAAUCAAACUCGAUGAUGGUAUCCCGGUGGGAGUAGCCACCCACGUGUUAUUUAGCAAUUAGGUUUGAAAAAUUUACCAAAUGUCCAGCUGAACAAACUGUAAUGUACAAAUUAAAUAAUAAUAAAAAAAAAGAAGAAACUUUAACUGUUUAAAAUAAUCAAACUCGAAGAUGGUAACCCGGUGGGGGCGACCAUUCACAUAUUCAGCAAUUAAAUUAGAAAAAUUCAGCAAGUGCCCUGCUGGACAAAUUGUAAAGUACAAAUUAAAUAAUAAUAAGAAAAAAGAAAAAAACUUUGACUGUUUAAAAUAAUCAAACUCGAAGAUGGUAACCCGGUGGGGGCGGCCAUUCACAUAUUAUUCAGCAAUUAAAUUAGAAAAAUUCAGCAAGUGCCCUGCUGGACAAAUUGUAAAGUACAAAUUAAAUAAUAAUAAGAAAAAAGAAAAAAACUUUGACUGUUUAAAAUAAUCAAACUCGAAGAUGGUAACCCGGUGGGGGCGGCCAUUCACAUAUUAUUCAGCAAUUAAAUUAGAAAAAUUCAGCAAGUGUCCAGCUGGACAAAUUGUAAAGUAAAUUAAAUAAUAAAAAAGAACGUUGAUCGAACGAAAUAAAUAUUGGCUUGGCAACUAAGUGAUUGCGGAUUUUGUCAAGACCACCUAAUGACAAAAUCCGCAAUCACUUAGUUGCCAAGCCAAUAUUACGAAAUAAAGUAAAUAUUAAAUUACAAAAAUUAAAAGAAUUACAAUCAUCAACUACGUACGUCGCGUCCAAAAUUCUCUAAUCGCUGAAAUGUGUCUGUCUCCACUGUGUACGUAUUUUUCGUAACGUUUUGCGUUACGUAUCGACGUAUUCUUGGUCGCGUGUGAUAGUUUCAAUGUUAACGUCGUGAAACGCACGUAUUGUGCACGUAUAAUCUAAGAUCGAUUAUUAAUAGAGAAAUUACAGCGGAAUGAAAUUAUUUCGUAAUUACAUUACGAAACUGCAUGUUUGUAGAAUUUACGUGAUAGGAACAAGACGAUGUUUAACAUCGAAAUGAAACUAACUUGCCGGGUUCAAUUAAAAUUCUAAAAUUCCCGGGAUUUUUACUUCUUGUAGUUUCUGUUUAUAGAAAAUUACGUUAUUUAUUAAACAUAAACUACGAAAUAAGCUGCGCGUUCUACGUUUUUACCAAGUGCUUCCGCGAGCCAAUUAAUCGGAUCGUGUUUCAGUAUUUGCGGAAAAUUCCCAAUUAAAACUCCAGUCAACAUUGAGAUGCUGUAACUUACCUGUGCUAACAAUAUUUGCUAACAAUAUUCUUUCUCCGUUUACUCCCAUACGAAUUACAAUUGACCGAUAUAGCAUGGAAAAUUUGAAAAUUUCAUCGUGUAUGCCAUAAUUAAAUUUGCAUAGAAAUUUCUGUAACCUUGUUUUAAACAUUGCCCUCGGAUACUUUAGUUUGAAGGAGAAUAUGGUUGCAGAAUGUUAUUCAGGAAUUAACUCGACACUGGGAACUCUACGUCAGAUCUAGUUUCAUUGUGAACUGAAAGAAAAAAUGUAUAUUUCUCGUACAAAAAAGAAAAAAGAAAAUAAUUAGAAGAAUCUAUAAUUGUUUUUUAAUGAAAAAUUGUAUAUGAAUUUUACAUAAUGAGAUUAAUACGUCGAAAUAUGACGAUUCCAUACGAAGGAGAAAAGAUAGAUUUGCUCCAACGAGUGUUUAACGUUUGUUGGGAACGAAAAAUGUAAAACUGCGUGUAUGUUGUACAAGCUGAUUCAAAUUCUUUCCUUCCUACAGUCAGGCAUUGUGAAAUCAUUUAACGAAGCUUGCAAAUAAUUCAUUAAAUCUAAUGUCAUGAAAUACACGUUAUCAAAAUGUUUUUUAUAGUUUUAUUAUACGAUUUAUAAAUGCUAAUAAACUUGCGCGUAUUAUCCGAGUUUCCGAUUAUCCGAUAACAGACUUGGUGCAAGUCAGAGCGGAUAAUCGAGGUUCUACCGCAGCUACGUGAAUCUUUGGGUAUCUCGUUCGUCAGGACGACAGUUCGUUAGAAGCCGCGUCCAAUUAUUAUUUAUUAGCCUCGUUAUGCAGCUUGUAAUUAUCAACUUUACGCGCAUGCUCGUGCAUCUAAUAUUUACAGGGAAUUUCAUUUAAUUUUGAGAAACUCGAACAAGCUUCUCGAUAGAAACAGCGUUCGUAAAGAAAUCGAUCGACCGAUGACGAUUAAGUCGACGAAAGUGGUCGUAUCACGCGUUAGUUCCAGUCACCUUAGUCCGGCGGCGUUCGUUUCGCGCAACUGUUCGCGACACGCGGCGGGCCUGCAAUUUUGUAGUUGCGCGUGCGACAGAUUGCUACGUUUCUCUGGAAAAGUCGAAUUCUUCCGCGUCUUUGCAGGAAUUUUGGCGAUUUCUUAUCGUCGUAGCUAAUUUUUCUGUUCCUCAGACAUCUUCUUAUUCCACGACCUUUAACAUGGAAUUUCUCUAUCGACUAAGAAGAUUUUUGGAGAAAGUUUAACUUAUAUAAACGUAUAAGUGUAUUUUUUAACUAAACACUUAAAAUAUUAUGAAAUUCUUACUUAUCUCGUUAAUGUAGAAAGAACAAGAUUGUUUGAGGGCCACUGCAUCGUAAUUAUCAAUUCAGAACUAAAACUUGCAAUAGAUCAACCAGACCAGAAAUUGAAGAGCAACUUUAUUUAAGAAACGUAUACGUGCCGUUUAAUUGGAUGAUGAUCGGUUAAAGUAGAAUAUUACGUACACGUAAUAUUAAUCAACGAAAUGAAGCUCAAUGUUACAAUGUCGCUGCUUCUGCUCUCGGAAACGACGACGCGAGUGGAAACGCCCGUUCGGAUAUCGCGUCUCGAUCUGGCGUCCGAUUUCCCGAUUUUCCCAUCGAUAAUCAGUGUAUUAGGAUAAUUAAAGGACCUGCAGUUGGUUCUUCCUCGCUGAUACGCCGCGACGAUCUCCACCCACGAGUUGCCGGGCUCAUUAAUGUUGCGCGUAUCGGCCAGGAAGAGAAAGGGAGGAACGACGAAAGUGGGUCACGUUCAGACAUCGCCACCGCGGAAAUUCAUAUGGUCGUCGUUCGCUGUUACUAAUUCCUCUACACCGCGCGGAAUUAUGAUACGGCUCUAUGUAUCGUCUAGCUAUGGCGACGAUGGUGUCACGUAGGAGACACAAGGAAUCACGAAAUUGACAGAUCAGCGGUCAUCUCGUCACGUAAAAUUCGUGAUGAGGAAAUUAAAAAGAAAGGAAGAGCUGAGCAAUAGCACAACUUGACUGUCUUUUUAUAUUUCUGCAUGCUUUAUUCACGAAGGUUGUUAAGUACAAAAUUACAAUGUUACGAAGUAGCCGAGUCACAAAGUAUUAAAAUUGUUGUUCAAACUGUGCCGAAGACUGGUCUCGUGGUCGAAUACUCGCAGUUUUAUGUGUUGAGUUUGUCGAAGUUGAGGGACAAGGGGAGGAUCCUGAGUGCCCUACGUGAUGGGGAAAGUUUGAUGCUGGGCCAUGUGCAAAGGUAAGGUCAAGGUCUAAAGGUUUAGUGUCAGGCAGUGUGGAAUGACGUGGAUUCCAAGUAUGGUCGCUGUCACAAUCUCCUCCUCGCCUCACAGUUCCAACCUUUCAUAAAUAAAGAAUUGAGCGUCAGAUAUUUUUCUUUUUUUUUUUUUUUUUGGAAGUAGUUUUCAAUCAAUUCUCAUUGAGAAUUAUAAGUAAAUUAUUCUGGCGUGGUACUAUAACGCGAAUAAUAAAUGAUCAUCGUAUGUGUGAUUCUAGCUGAAUCUAAUGAUUGUUCUCGGUGUGUUCGAUUGUAGCGACUCUGGUGGCUUUAUGUGGCACAUUGCUGCUGUCCCCCAUAGUGGUAUUCCGUACAUCCAAAUUGCUUUUAUUAUCGUUCUGUAUAUUUUUCAUUUAUUUUCUAUGCCGACUUUAGAAUUUCGACUAGUUAACCAGUACAUUUGUCUUCUUUUUAUCUGUAUUUUUCCCAUAAUUCAUUUAGUAUUGUGUUGUUUCCACCUAAGUUGUGCGUCUAAGUGGAGUCGCAGGUAUUUAACUUGUCUUGUGCCAUUCAGUUGGAUAUUCGGUGGUUUCCAUUUUCUCAGUGUAAAUGUAAUAUGGUUGCAUUUACUGCGAGCUGAUUUUGGGAAGGUUUAUAUUCUAUCGGUUUGGCUCCUAUGGUGGGGGGCGCCGCUGGGAGUGUCGCAGGGGACCAGAUCAGAGGGCGCCAUGCUGCUACUGUUUCCUCACACUGGGACACUGUCUACGUUGUUGUUUCGAUGGUCUGCGGGGUGUUGGUUAGACCUCGUUAGUUUCUCUAUUGCUAAUUUAUAUUUUAUAUUGUAAAUUAUGUUUUUACAUUGCAGCGUUUGUCUGAAAGUUGUUGUUUUAUUAAA
Molecule: long non-coding RNA, 6521 nt
Organism: Bombus pyrosoma
Lineage: Eukaryota; Metazoa; Arthropoda; Insecta; Hymenoptera; Apidae
Exons: 8
Source: RefSeq, a predicted model, not a curated record